UCCAUUCGCGGAGAUGGCGUUCUCCCCUAACCGCCAGCCAAGGCUGAUGACGCCUGCUUUCAU
This 63-nucleotide non-coding RNA is filed under the name Deltaproteobacteria bacterium. Its description in RNAcentral is "Fluoride sequence". It matches the Rfam family "Fluoride riboswitch aptamer (crcB RNA motif)". The record is from RNAcentral. Lineage: Bacteria; Pseudomonadati; Myxococcota; Myxococcia.